UUCACGCCGCGUGGAGGAUGACGGCUUUCGGAUUGUAAACUCCUUUUGUAUGGGACGAUAAUGACGGUACCAUACGAAUAAGCCCCGGCUAACUCUGUGCCAGCAGCCGCGGUAAUACAGAGGGGGCAAGCGUUGUCCGGAGUUACUGGGCGUAAAGCGCACGCAGGCGGUUGUGCAAGUGGGAUGUGAAACCACCGUGCUUAACACGGUGACGCCAUGCCAAACUGCACGACUUGAGUGGUGGAGAGGUUGUUCGAAUUGCCGGUGUAGUGGUGAAAUGCGUAGAGAUCGGCAGGAAGACCAAGGGCGAAAGCAGACAACUGGCCACCAACUGACGCUCAGGUGCGAAAGCGUGGGGAGCGAACUGGAUUAAAUACCCAGGUAGUCCACGCUGUAAACGAUGUAUGCUCGGUAUUUGUGCUGUUACGGCAUGGGUACCUCAGGAAACCCGGUAAGCAUACCGCCUGGGAAGUACGAACGCAAGUUUAAAACUCAAAGGAAUUGACGGGGCCCCGCACAAGCAGCGGAGCGUGUGGUUUAAUUCGAUGCAACACGAAGAACCUUACCUAGGUUUGACAUAAGAUCUGCACGCCCCAGAAAUGGGGAAGCCUACGAGGGAGAUCAACAGGUGCUGCAUGGCUGUCGUCAGCUCGUGUCGUGAGAUGUCGGGUCAGUCCCGCAAGAGCGAGACCUAGGGUAGUACUGUGUCUAGCGGA
This 716-nucleotide ribosomal RNA is filed under the name uncultured bacterium. RNAcentral describes it as "bacterial SSU rRNA". It matches the Rfam family "Bacterial small subunit ribosomal RNA", at positions 391 to 1125 of the family's 1533-position model. The record is from RNAcentral.